RNAcentral lists this transfer RNA (77 nucleotides) under Desulfocurvibacter africanus PCS. RNAcentral's name for it is "Desulfovibrio africanus PCS tRNA-Arg". It matches the Rfam family "tRNA". Rfam says of the family: Transfer RNA (tRNA) molecules are approximately 80 nucleotides in length. Their secondary structure includes four short double-helical elements and three loops (D, anti-codon, and T loops). Further hydrogen bonds mediate the characteristic L-shaped molecular structure. tRNAs have two regions of fundamental functional importance: the anti-codon, which is responsible for specific mRNA codon recognition, and the 3' end, to which the tRNAs corresponding amino acid is attached (by aminoacyl-tRNA synthetases). tRNAs cope with the degeneracy of the genetic code in two manners: having more than one tRNA (with a specific anti-codon) for a particular amino acid; and 'wobble' base-pairing, i.e. permitting non-standard base-pairing at the 3rd anti-codon position. The record is from RNAcentral. Lineage: Bacteria; Pseudomonadati; Thermodesulfobacteriota; Desulfovibrionia; Desulfovibrionales; Desulfovibrionaceae.
GCGCCCGUAGCUCAGGUGGAUAGAGCAACUGCCUUCUAAGCAGUGGGUCGGAGGUUCGAAUCCUUCCGGGCGCACCA